Molecule: ribosomal RNA, 279 nt
Filed under: uncultured Staphylococcus sp.
Lineage: Bacteria; Bacillati; Bacillota; Bacilli; Caryophanales; Staphylococcaceae
Description: partial 16S ribosomal RNA
Rfam family: Bacterial small subunit ribosomal RNA
Source: RNAcentral
UACGUAGGUGGCAAGCGUUAUCCGGAAUUAUUGGGCGUAAAGCGCGCGUAGGCGGUUUUUUAAGUCUGAUGUGAAAGCCCACGGCUCAACCGUGGAGGGUCAUUGGAAACUGGAAAACUUGAGUGCAGAAGAGGAAAGUGGAAUUCCAUGUGUAGCGGUGAAAUGCGCAGAGAUAUGGAGGAACACCAGUGGCGAAGGCGACUUUCUGGUCUGUAACUGACGCUGAUGUGCGAAAGCGUGGGGAUCAAACAGGAUUAGAUACCCUGGUAGUCAAGGGCG